GAGUUUGAUCAUGGCUCAGGAUGAACGCUGGCGGCGUGCCUAACACAUGCAAGUCGAACGAAGCAUAUAGAAGGAAGUUUUCGGAUGGAAUUUUAUAUGACUUAGUGGCGGACGGGUGAGUAACGCGUGGAUAAUCUGCCUUACACAGCGGGAUAACAAGUGGAAACAGUUGCUAAUACCGCAUAAGCACACAGUAUCGCAUGAUACAGGGUGAAAAGAUUUAUCGGUGUAAGAUGAGUCCGCGUCCCAUUAGCUAGUUGGUGAGGUAAAAGCUUACCAAGGCGACGAUGGGUAGCCGGCCUGAGAGGGUGAACGGCCACAUUGGGACUGAGACACGGCCCAGACUCCUACGGGAGGCAGCAGUGGGGGAUAUUGCACAAUGGGCGAAAGCCUGAUGCAGCGACGCCGCGUGAAGGAUGAAGUAUUUCGGUAUGUAAACUUCUAUCAGCAGGGAAGAAAAUGACG
Molecule: ribosomal RNA, 465 nt
Filed under: Lachnospiraceae bacterium canine oral taxon 024
Lineage: Bacteria; Bacillati; Bacillota; Clostridia; Lachnospirales; Lachnospiraceae
Description: bacterial SSU rRNA
Rfam family: Bacterial small subunit ribosomal RNA
Source: RNAcentral